CCAAUUAUUAUUGAGCUCUCCCCCCCUUCACCGGGUGGUAGGUUCUCUAACACUUGUGUGCACUGUUUAUUGUCUCUCGGCGUUCGAGGGUUGGGUAUUUGGAGCUUUGCUCCCGGUGCCCUUGGGCUUUUACGGGCCUUGGCCUACCCCUGAGCGCCAACUUAAACUUGAUUUUAUUAUACUAUAAAAUCCAAUA
Molecule: unclassified non-coding RNA, 196 nt
Filed under: uncultured Chytridiomycota
Lineage: Eukaryota; Fungi; Chytridiomycota
Description: sequence contains ITS1
Source: RNAcentral